Molecule: transfer RNA, 74 nt
Filed under: Schistochila macrodonta
Lineage: Eukaryota; Viridiplantae; Streptophyta; Jungermanniopsida; Jungermanniales; Schistochilaceae
Description: tRNA-Arg
Rfam family: tRNA
About the family: Transfer RNA (tRNA) molecules are approximately 80 nucleotides in length. Their secondary structure includes four short double-helical elements and three loops (D, anti-codon, and T loops). Further hydrogen bonds mediate the characteristic L-shaped molecular structure. tRNAs have two regions of fundamental functional importance: the anti-codon, which is responsible for specific mRNA codon recognition, and the 3' end, to which the tRNAs corresponding amino acid is attached (by aminoacyl-tRNA synthetases). tRNAs cope with the degeneracy of the genetic code in two manners: having more than one tRNA (with a specific anti-codon) for a particular amino acid; and 'wobble' base-pairing, i.e. permitting non-standard base-pairing at the 3rd anti-codon position.
Source: RNAcentral
GGGUUUGUAGCUCAGUGGAUUAGAGCUCAUGACUCCGGAGCAUGAGGUCAAGGGUUCGAAUCCCUUCUAACCCU